RNAcentral lists this transfer RNA (72 nucleotides) under Camelus bactrianus (Bactrian camel). It matches the Rfam family "tRNA". Rfam says of the family: Transfer RNA (tRNA) molecules are approximately 80 nucleotides in length. RNAcentral also lists the same sequence under 1 other name. Lineage: Eukaryota; Metazoa; Chordata; Mammalia; Artiodactyla; Camelidae. The record is from Rfam by way of RNAcentral.
GAGGGUGUAGCUCAGUGGUAGAGCACAUGCUUAGCGUGCACAAGGUCCUAGGUUCAAUUCCCAGUGCCUCCA